RNAcentral lists this ribosomal RNA (253 nucleotides) under uncultured bacterium. RNAcentral describes it as "partial 16S ribosomal RNA". It matches the Rfam family "Bacterial small subunit ribosomal RNA", at positions 524 to 776 of the family's 1533-position model. The record is from RNAcentral.
UACAGAGGGUGCAAGCGUUAAUCGGAAUUACUGGGCGUAAAGCGUGCGUAGACGGUUAUGUAAGUCGGGUGUGAAAGCCCCGGGCUCAACCUGGGAAUUGCAUUCGAGACUGUGUAGCUAGGGUACGGAAGAGGGAAGCGGAAUUUCAGGUGUAGCGGUGAAGUGCGUAGAUAUCUGAAGGAACACCAGUGGCGAAAGCGGCUUCCUGGUCCAGUACCGACGUUCAGGCACGAAAGCGUGGGGAGCAAACAGG